CCAUAAUGCAUGCGUACGUGACCUGCGGAGGAUCAUUAUUGAAAUGUAAUCCGAGGUGAGGCGGGCCUCGUCUUUCGUGGAAAGGGCUGCCGCGGUCAUUACCCAUGCACUCGUGCAAAUUUAACCAGUGUGAACCGAGUUGGAUGGCCUGGCCCAACCUCUGCUUAGACCCCCUUUUUCCAAAUUGUUUUUUCUUGAAUGAACUGGGCCUUAAUGGACCGCUGGAUUUGUACUGAAUCUCUUGGCUCUAGGGAUCUUUAGGAUCUCACAUAAAUGAAAAACGUAACGAAAUGCGAAAAAUUCUGUGAAUUGCAGAAUUUUUGAACUCACCUUAUCUUUGAUGGCAUUUUGCGCACUAUGGUUGUCCGGAUGGCGUGAAUGUUUGAGUGUCGUAAUCUUUUCUUUCUCCUCGGGUUCGCAUUCGGUGCGGGAAGUAGUUGGGGGUGGAGCUGCGGUGAGGCAACUCCUGUUAUGAUUUUCCUUUUGGACCGUGUCAUGCGCCUCUCACUAUUGACUUGCUGGCUACCACGCCUUUGAUCGGUCUCGAUCUCUUAUGUGACUGACUUCAACUUGGCGACUGGGUGAAUGGAAAUUCUUGACAAUUUGACAUCUUUUGACGUAAGAAUACCCGCGACACUUACGCAUAUCAAUAAGAUCAGGAAACGAAACUAACAAGGAUACCCCCUGAACCUGCGAGUGACGCGAGACGGACUCAAAUAAACUAUCUGGGAGUCCUCUGCCGACCGACGAGUGUACCGGGAAAAACCUCAUACAUGCUGUCUCCGCGGCGAAAUCCUCCCUGAAAAUUUUCUGGAAAAAAAAUGUUUUCUGUCGGGGCACGCGUGAAAAACUCCCGGGAGAGG
Molecule: ribosomal RNA, 863 nt
Filed under: Cortinarius sp.
Lineage: Eukaryota; Fungi; Basidiomycota; Agaricomycetes; Agaricales; Cortinariaceae
Description: eukaryotic LSU rRNA
Rfam family: 5.8S ribosomal RNA (bases 239-392)
Source: RNAcentral